UCUCCGUAGGUGAACCUGCGGAGGGAUCAUUACAGAGUUCAUGCCCUACCGGGUAGAUCUCCCACCCUACGUUAUUAUUGCUUUGUUGCUUUGGCGGGCCGUUAGGCUCCGGCCCGACUACCGGCCCCGGCUGGUAAGCGCCCGCCAGAGGACCCAAAACCCUGAAUAUUAGUGUCGUCUGAGUACUAUAUAAUAGUUAAAACUUUCAACAACGGAUCUCUCGGUUCUG
This 229-nucleotide unclassified non-coding RNA is filed under the name plant metagenome. Its description in RNAcentral is "partial contains small subunit ribosomal RNA, internal transcribed spacer 1, and 5.8S ribosomal RNA". The record is from RNAcentral.